RNAcentral lists this ribosomal RNA (253 nucleotides) under uncultured bacterium. RNAcentral's name for it is "partial 16S ribosomal RNA". It matches the Rfam family "Bacterial small subunit ribosomal RNA", at positions 524 to 776 of the family's 1533-position model. The record is from RNAcentral.
GACGAACCGUGCGAACGUUGUUCGGAAUCACUGGGUUUAAAGGGCGCGUAGGCGGACUGUCAAGUCGGUGGUGAAAUCUUUCGGCUCAACCGGAAAAUCGCCUUCGAUACUGGCGGCCUUGAGGGAGGUAGGGGCAUGCGGAACUUCCGGUGGAGCGGUGAAAUGCGUAGAUAUCGGAAGGAACACCGAUGGCGAAAGCAGCGUGCUGGACCUUUUCUGACGCUGAGGCGCGAAAGCCAGGGGAGCAAACGGG